GUCGACGCGAAGAACCUUAUCCUAGGCUUGACAUGUGCGAAAGCGCUAGCAAGUAGCGUGCGGAAACGUUACGCGAACGGUAUCCAGUCCGGAAGCUAGUACAGGUGUUGCAUGGCUGUCG
Molecule: ribosomal RNA, 121 nt
Filed under: uncultured bacterium
Lineage: Bacteria
Description: partial 16S ribosomal RNA
Source: RNAcentral